RNAcentral lists this transfer RNA (71 nucleotides) under bacterium (Candidatus Gribaldobacteria) CG_4_10_14_0_8_um_filter_33_9. Its description in RNAcentral is "tRNA-Gly". It matches the Rfam family "tRNA". From Rfam's summary of the family: Transfer RNA (tRNA) molecules are approximately 80 nucleotides in length. The record is from RNAcentral. Lineage: Bacteria; Candidatus Gribaldobacteria.
GCGGAGUUGGUAUAAUGGUAUUAUAUGUUCUUCCCAAGAAUAAGACACGGGUUCGAUUCCCGUACUCCGCA